CUCUUAAUAUUAAACUCCCUAAAGUGAACAUGGAAAAGGGAGGAGGCGGCAGAAGCAGGAACCGUACAUUUUCUGGCAAUGAAUUUAUUGCAGGUGAACGCUGCAAGGAUGCUGGGAUACAGGACUCUUUCAAAGGACUAGGUCAAGAUUUGCACAACAUUUCUGACAAUAAAUUUAGUGCUGGUGAACGCUGCAAGGAUGUUGGGAUACAGGUCUCUUUCAAUGCACUAGGUCAAGAUUUUCACAACCUUUCUGGCAAUAAAUUUAGUGCAGGUGAACGCUGCCAGAAUGUUGGGAUAAAGGACUCUUUCAAUGGGUGAAGGUGCUGUCAAAUUUUAUUGGCAACACCAGCCUGACGAGGUCUCCAGCUGGUGCUGCAUCCUAUAGUUUAGGAGAAGAAGAAGCGGAAUCAAUGUUAGAAUAAACCAAUUGAAGAAGGACAUGAUCAAUAAGAAGAAAAAAGUAGUCUGCUGUUCUUCGAUGCUUUAAGUUUACUGGUGCUUGUAGGCUCUUAUUAUGAAUAAUUAUUAUUGUAUAAUAUUAUUGUAAUUCCAUUGCUUUUGUUUCGUUUGUACCAAGUUUGUGGGGAUAUUCUAUCUUCUAAUGUUGCUUGCAAUUGUUUC
Molecule: long non-coding RNA, 623 nt
Organism: Prunus persica (peach)
Lineage: Eukaryota; Viridiplantae; Streptophyta; Magnoliopsida; Rosales; Rosaceae
Exons: 2
Source: RefSeq, a predicted model, not a curated record